UUGCUCUUCAACGAGGAAUGCCUAGUAAGCGCAAGUCAUCAGCUUGCGUUGAUUACGUCCCUGCCCUUUGUACACACCGCCCGUCGCUACUACCGAUUGAAUGGCUCAGUGAGGCCUCCGGACUGGCUCAGGGAGGCUGGCAACGGCCACCCAGAGUUGGAAAGCUGGUCAAACUUGGUCAUUUAGAGGAAGUAAAAGUCGUAACAAGGUUUCCGUAGGUGAACCUGCGGAAGGAUCAUUAAACAAGUAAGCUAUGCCCUCUGGGGCUGGCAAACUUCCAANCCAUUGUAAAGUGUGAUACUAUUGUAAACAUCUUUNGGUGGAGCGUGGUGCUUAUGCCACCUCUAGCAGUCCACUGUGGCUGCCGGAGCGUCUCCGCCAGAGAGCCCUUUGAACCCAUAUAACUGAAANCCAUAUGUGAAUUGUAUGAAAACUUUCAACAACGGAUCUCUUGGUUACCGCAUCGAUGAAGAACGCAGCAAAAUGCGAUAAGUAAUGUGAAUUGCAGAAUCUAGUGAAUCAUUGAAUCUUUGAACGCACAUUGCACUUGGGUUACCGCCCAAGUAUGCCUGUCCGAGCGUCAUUACAACACCACAGCUCACUGCUGUUGAUGGGGUUCGUCCCAACUGGACGUCCCUAUAAGCCAUUGUCUGAAAGGGCUGUCCCUAGUGGGCUUGCAUCGUAGAAACAUUGCUGGCAAAUCUAGAGGGCGUGCCCCGAGGACCUACUGUAACGUCUCUCAGAUUGACCUCGGAUCAGGUGGGGAUACCCGCUGAACUUAAGCAUAUCAAUAAGCGGAGGA
RNAcentral lists this ribosomal RNA (802 nucleotides) under uncultured fungus. RNAcentral's name for it is "eukaryotic LSU rRNA". The stretch from base 1 to 241 matches the Rfam family "Eukaryotic small subunit ribosomal RNA", at positions 1593 to 1831 of the family's 1831-position model. Lineage: Eukaryota; Fungi. The record is from RNAcentral.